CCUACGGGAGGCAGCAGUGGGGGAUAUUGCACAAUGGGGGAAACCCUGAUGCAGCGACGCCGCGUGGGCGAAGAAGUAUUUCGGGAUGUAAAGCCCUAUUAGCAGGGAAGAAGAAAUGACGGUACCUGAGGAAGAAGCACUGGCUAAAUACGUGCCAGCAGCCGAGGUAAUACGUAUGGCGCAAGCGUUAUCCGGAUUUACUGGGUGUAAAGGGAGUGCAGGGGGCACGGCAAGCCUGAUGUGAAAGCCCGCGGCCCAACCGCGGGACUGCAUUUGAAACUACCGGGCUGGAGUGCCGGGGAGGUAGGCGGAAUUCCUAGUGUAGCGGUGAAAUGCGUAGAUAUUA
Molecule: ribosomal RNA, 346 nt
Filed under: uncultured bacterium
Lineage: Bacteria
Description: partial 16S ribosomal RNA
Rfam family: Bacterial small subunit ribosomal RNA
Source: RNAcentral